AGUGAACGCUGGCGGUAGGCCUAACACAUGCAAGUCGAACGGCAGCACAGUAAGAGCUUGCUCUUACGGGUGGCGAGUGGCGGACGGGUGAGGAAUACAUCGGAAUCUACUUUUUCGUGGGGGAUAACGUAGGGAAACUUACGCUAAUACCGGAUACGACCUACGGGUGAAAGCAGGGGAUCUUCGGACCUUGCGCGAUUGAAUGAGCCGAUGUCGGAUUAGCUAGUUGGCGGGGUAAAGGCCCACCAAGGCGACGAUCCGUAGCUGGUCUGAGAGGAUGAUCAGCCACACUGGAACUGAGACACGGUCCAGACUCCUACGGGAGGCAGCAGUGGGGAAUAUUGGACAAUGGGCGCAAGCCUGAUCCAGCCAUACCGCGUGGGUGAAGAAGGCCUUCGGGUUGUAAAGCCCUUUUGUUGGGAAAGAAAAGCAGCAGGUUAAUACCCCGCUGUUCUGACGGUACCCAAAGAAUAAGCACCGGCUAACUUCGU
Molecule: ribosomal RNA, 491 nt
Filed under: uncultured bacterium
Lineage: Bacteria
Description: partial 16S ribosomal RNA
Rfam family: Bacterial small subunit ribosomal RNA
Source: RNAcentral